RNAcentral lists this ribosomal RNA (1372 nucleotides) under uncultured bacterium. Its description in RNAcentral is "bacterial SSU rRNA". It matches the Rfam family "Bacterial small subunit ribosomal RNA", at positions 28 to 1381 of the family's 1533-position model. The record is from RNAcentral.
GAUGAACGCUGGCGGCGUGCCUAAUACAUGCAAGUCGAGCGAACGGACGAGAAGCUUGCUUCUCUGAUGUUAGCGGCGGACGGGUGAGUAACACGUGGAUAACCUACCUAUAAGACUGGGAUAACUUCGGGAAACCGGAGCUAAUACCGGAUAAUAUUUUGAACCGCAUGGUUCAAAAGUAAAAGACGGUCUUGCUGUCACUUAUAGAUGGAUCCGCGCUGCAUUAGCUAGUUGGUAAGGUAACGGCUUACCAAGGCAACGAUGCAUAGCCGACCUGAGAGGGUGAUCGGCCACACUGGAACUGAGACACGGUCCAGACUCCUACGGGAGGCAGCAGUAGGGAAUCUUCCGCAAUGGGCGAAAGCCUGACGGAGCAACGCCGCGUGAGUGAUGAAGGUCUUCGGAUCGUAAAACUCUGUUAUUAGGGAAGAACAUAUGUGUAAGUAACUGUGCACAUCUUGACGGUACCUAAUCAGAAAGCCACGGCUAACUACGUGCCAGCAGCCGCGGUAAUACGUAGGUGGCAAGCGUUAUCCGGAAUUAUUGGGCGUAAAGCGCGCGUAGGCGGUUUUUUAAGUCUGAUGUGAAAGCCCACGGCUCAACCGUGGAGGGUCAUUGGAAACUGGAAAACUUGAGUGCAGAAGAGGAAAGUGGAAUUCCAUGUGUAGCGGUGAAAUGCGCAGAGAUAUGGAGGAACACCAGUGGCGAAGGCGACUUUCUGGUCUGUAACUGACGCUGAUGUGCGAAAGCGUGGGGAUCAAACAGGAUUAGAUACCCUGGUAGUCCACGCCGUAAACGAUGAGUGCUAAGUGUUAGGGGGUUUCCGCCCCUUAGUGCUGCAGCUAACGCAUUAAGCACUCCGCCUGGGGAGUACGACCGCAAGGUUGAAACUCAAAGGAAUUGACGGGGACCCGCACAAGCGGUGGAGCAUGUGGUUUAAUUCGAAGCAACGCGAAGAACCUUACCAAAUCUUGACAUCCUCUGACCCCUCUAGAGAUAGAGUUUUCCCCUUCGGGGGACAGAGUGACAGGUGGUGCAUGGUUGUCGUCAGCUCGUGUCGUGAGAUGUUGGGUUAAGUCCCGCAACGAGCGCAACCCUUAAGCUUAGUUGCCAUCAUUAAGUUGGGCACUCUAAGUUGACUGCCGGUGACAAACCGGAGGAAGGUGGGGAUGACGUCAAAUCAUCAUGCCCCUUAUGAUUUGGGCUACACACGUGCUACAAUGGACAAUACAAAGGGCAGCGAAACCGCGAGGUCAAGCAAAUCCCAUAAAGUUGUUCUCAGUUCGGAUUGUAGUCUGCAACUCGACUAUAUGAAGCUGGAAUCGCUAGUAAUCGUAGAUCAGCAUGCUACGGUGAAUACGUUCCCGGGUCU